RNAcentral lists this long non-coding RNA (395 nucleotides) under Elaeis guineensis (African oil palm). Its description in RNAcentral is "long non-coding RNA (EGUI_LNC010048)". Lineage: Eukaryota; Viridiplantae; Streptophyta; Magnoliopsida; Arecales; Arecaceae. The record is from RNAcentral.
UGGGCGUUAAUACUGCAGGCGAGGGCCAUUCGCUGUAGGAGCUCGGUCAGAGGCCUUCCGUAGAUGAAGUUCGGUUUCAUGUAGAAUUCGGCAGAGGGUCGACUAGCAGUGGGUGUCGGAUGGUGCUGGAGAGGUUCAUCCACUGGAGGGGUCCAGCUGCUGGAGUCCAUGUAUUGUAGGAGUUCAUCUGGAAUCUGUCUGCUACAGAAGUUUGGUUGGAGUCCGAUCUCCGUAGAAGCCCGGAUGGAGAUCAUUUGUCGAGGAAGCUCAGUCGAAGCUUGCAGUAAAAGCUCGGAGUAGAUCGCUUGCAGUAGAAGCUCAGAGUAGAUCGCUUGCAGUAGAAGCUUGGAGUCCGGCCCUUGUAGGAGUUCGGAUGAGGUCUACCUGCAACAGGA